GUCUGGUGCCAGCAGCCGCGGUAAUUCCAGCUCCAAUAGCGUAUAUUAAAGUUGUUGCAGUUAAAAAGCUCGUAGUUGAAUUUCGGGAUCAAUACGUCGGUCGUGCUUCGGUACGUACUGGCGUCAUUGAUUUCUCCCUUCUGACGAACCAUGAUGUCAUUAACUUGGUGUCAUGGGAAAUCAGGACUGUUACUUUGAAAAAAUUAGAGUGUUUAAAGCAAGCUAACGCUUGAAUACAUUAGCAUGGAAUAAUGAAAUAGGACGUUCGAUCCUAUUUUGUUGGUUUCUAGGAUUGACGUAAUGAUUAAUAGGGAUAGUUGGGGGC
Molecule: ribosomal RNA, 325 nt
Filed under: uncultured Glomus
Lineage: Eukaryota; Fungi; Glomeromycota; Glomeromycetes; Glomerales; Glomeraceae
Description: SSU rRNA
Rfam family: Eukaryotic small subunit ribosomal RNA
Source: RNAcentral